RNAcentral lists this long non-coding RNA (1284 nucleotides) under Bemisia tabaci. RNAcentral describes it as "lncRNA ENSSWEETPG009035". The record is from RNAcentral. Lineage: Eukaryota; Metazoa; Arthropoda; Insecta; Hemiptera; Aleyrodidae.
AUUGAACACCCUGUAGACCGGCGAGACCCUCCGUAGUGUUGACAAAUAUCAGCCGCCGUUGAGGUUUUCCCGGGGCUCGGUCGGGGAUAGUUAAAUGAGCUGCAAAAGACGGCGAUAACGGAGGAGGAGCGGGAAAAGGAACGGAUUUAGAAAGAGUGGUGUGUGUAAUGACGCCGCAUACGUGAUGCUCUUGUAGUGGAGGUUGCACGACUUUUAAAGCGACUUGGAUGCAACUUUUUCAAGUGACGCCGGGUCUCGGGGUCCCGGUCCCCGAGUUGUGUAAUUCAGGAGGAAUCUUUCUACCCUGUUAACACGAUUACCCGAUUGUCAACCCGAAGGUAUAUAUACUUACACGCCCACUGAAACGUCCAUCAGUCCUUUGCCGGCCUUAGACAAUCGCCAGCCCGGUCCCAGUGCGGAUGUGUUGAAAAGUUUCGCGGUUUUUCCAUCAGUUCAGGACCUCGAGUAUGAGGCAUAAGGCUCUUUGUGGCUUGAUACUCGCAAGCAUAGUGGCAUGUAACCUGACACAAGCACAGAGGCCCGCCUCCUCUUAUUUACCUCCAGGGGGAGGAGGAGGCGGUGGAGGCGGCGCACCACGACCUGGACCCUCUUACGGUCCACCUGGAGGAGGUGGCGGCGCUAAACCAUCGACUUCGUUCAAACCUCCGCCGCCAGGAGGCCCAAAACCCCCCAGUUUUGGCGGAGGCGGCCCGCCUGGAGGUGGGGGCGGAGGAGGUGGCGGAGGCGGCGGUGAAGAGGGAGGAAAAGUAAGUUAAAUUAGGAUUGAUUAACUAGACUCACAAUCAGCCUAAUUACAUUCACUGAAAAAAAUUAUAUGUAUGCAGGGGCGGAACCAGCAAUUUGGCAACAACGGAUUCCUUCCAUUUAAACCUAUGUUAAAUAAUCGAUUCUUGCGGGGGCACCUGGCCCCCCAAGAAUCGAUAAAUUUCCAUUGGUUUAAAUGGAUAAUAGACAAUGUUGCCAAUUUGCUGGAUCCGCCGAUGUAUGUAUGUUGUUUUAGCACCUGAGAUGUCAAAAAUGUGUCUGGUGAUUCCUUAAGAAGCUGCCUUUACUGCCUCCGCAGUUAAUUUUACAUCCUGUGAAUGCUAAUUUAUCUGCGUGCGUAAUCAAGGCAGCAUCUUAGGAUCACCAGACACAUUUUUGACAUCCUAAGUGCUAAGACAGCAUUCCAUUUUUUUCAGUGUUAGACUAGUGAGAAUAAUAUUCUCACAUUUUUUUCUUUUUAUAUUACAUGCACAAAACAUCAAGAUGUAAAAGAGAUAA